RNAcentral lists this ribosomal RNA (633 nucleotides) under gamma proteobacterium IMCC14441. RNAcentral's name for it is "bacterial SSU rRNA". It matches the Rfam family "Bacterial small subunit ribosomal RNA", at positions 28 to 664 of the family's 1533-position model. Lineage: Bacteria; Pseudomonadati; Pseudomonadota; Gammaproteobacteria. The record is from RNAcentral.
AUUGAACGCUGGCGGCAGGCCUAACACAUGCAAGUCGAGCGCGAAAGCACUUCGGUGUGAGUAGAGCGGCGGACGGGUGAGUAACGCGUAGGAAUCUACCUAGUAGUGGGGGACAACUCGGGGAAACUCGAGCUAAUACCGCAUAAGCCCUACGGGGGAAAGCGGGGGACCUUCGGGCCUCGUGCUAUUAGAUGAGCCUGCGUUGGAUUAGCUAGUUGGUGGGGUAAAGGCCUACCAAGGCGACGAUCCAUAGCUGGUCUGAGAGGAUGAUCAGCCACACCGGGACUGAGACACGGCCCGGACUCCUACGGGAGGCAGCAGUGGGGAAUAUUGCGCAAUGGGCGAAAGCCUGACGCAGCCAUGCCGCGUGUGUGAAGAAGGCCUUCGGGUUGUAAAGCACUUUCAAUUGGGAGGAAAGGCUCACGGUUAAUAACCGUGAGCUGUGACGUUACCUUUAGAAGAAGCACCGGCUAACUCCGUGCCAGCAGCCGCGGUAAUACGGAGGGUGCAAGCGUUAAUCGGAAUUACUGGGCGUAAAGCGCGCGUAGGUGGUCUGUUAAGUCGGAUGUGAAAGCCCCGGGCUCAACCUGGGAACUGCAUUCGAUAAGAGUCAAGUGCGAGAGAGGGAGGUAG